This is an RNA transcript of Gallus gallus (chicken), 585 nucleotides long. RefSeq lists it as uncharacterized. The transcript is spliced from 4 exons. NCBI's taxonomy places the organism in Eukaryota, Metazoa, Chordata, Aves, Galliformes, Phasianidae. The record is from RefSeq and is a predicted model, not a curated record.
GAGGGACACGGUUUAGCGAGAACCAUUGGUGAAGGGCGAAUGGUUGGACUGGGUGAUCCCGUGGGUCUUUUCCAACCUUAGCCAUUCUAUGAUUCUAUGAUCGCCUCCUGAUGCUCUGCACACCAGCCGAGGAGCGGCGCUUCCCCGUGGGCGGAGGGGCACGCGUCACAGCCAGAGCAUUGUGACGCAAUCACCCUGCAGAGUAGCAGAAGCACCGCUCCCUGGGCACAGAGAGCACUUGGUGCUGAGCACUGGCACUGCGAGGAGGUGGGAGAGAUUGGGAGAGGAGACUGAAGGCAGAGAGUGCCCCCGGUGCCCUCCCAGCCCACAGCGUGGUCGAGGACUGUCGCGAACCCAUCCGCAGCUGUGCGCACUGAGCGCUGAAGCCAUGGCAGAGAAGUACUCCAGUGAAAUGCUGGCGGUAGACAACGCUGAGUCAGGCGCACUGCUGGAGGAGCUCAUGGAGUGUAAGAAGAGGUCUGCGGAGCUGGCAGCUGUUCUCCGAGAGCAGACCAAAAUCCGUCAGGCACUGAAGGAGGAGGUGGAAAUGGAGAUGAAAAGCCUCCAGAAGGCACAACGGAGGGC